GCCGGGCAUGGUGGUGGGUGCCUGUAAUCCCAGCUACUCAGGAGGCUGAGGCAGGAGAAUUGCUUGAACCCAGGGGGCGGAGGUUGCAGUGAGCUGAGAUCGUGCCACUGCACUCCAGCCUGGGUGACAGAGCAAGACUCUGUCUCAA
This 148-nucleotide signal recognition particle RNA is filed under the name Homo sapiens (human). RNAcentral describes it as "Metazoan signal recognition particle RNA". It matches the Rfam family "Metazoan signal recognition particle RNA". Rfam says of the family: The signal recognition particle (SRP) is a universally conserved ribonucleoprotein. It is involved in the co-translational targeting of proteins to membranes. Lineage: Eukaryota; Metazoa; Chordata; Mammalia; Primates; Hominidae. The record is from Rfam by way of RNAcentral.